RNAcentral lists this ribosomal RNA (949 nucleotides) under Kronopolites acuminatus. Its description in RNAcentral is "eukaryotic LSU rRNA". It matches the Rfam family "Eukaryotic large subunit ribosomal RNA", at positions 342 to 934 of the family's 3401-position model. Lineage: Eukaryota; Metazoa; Arthropoda; Diplopoda; Polydesmida; Paradoxosomatidae. The record is from RNAcentral.
CAACAAGUACCGUGAGGGAAAGUUGCAAAGAACUUUGAAGAGAGAGUUCAAGAGUGCGUGAAACCGUUCGGAGGUAAACGGGUGGGAGCGCGAAGGUCGAACGGAUGGGGAGGGAUUCAACUCGGCGAGAUGGCGUCGCUUGGCCGGGGGUCGUGGGGGCGGUGUUCCCUUUUAGGGGCAUCCCCUAUCCCACGGCAUCGGCCCGAGCGAGUCGGCUUGUCUCCGCCUUGUGCAUUUCCCAAUUUCCCCUCUCCUAGUAGGACGCCGUGACCGGCUGUUGAGGGGAGCCCAGUAGCUGGCGAGGGUAGCUGCGCGGACGAGUGUGGGAUUCGUUCCCUGCGUCCGGUCUGUCUGCCUCUCGCCGUGCAGCGGGUGCUCUCCCCGGCCGAGGAGCUGUGCGAGUGGGACCCUCGUGGUCCCCUCGUCCAAGCGCGUGCCCUCGAUUUGUCGGUGCGGGUCGAAAGAUCCCAACGGGUGGCGGUGGAUGGUGGCUGGCCGGCUUUAUGCCUCUCCAGCCGCCUUUCCGCGUCAGCCGCCGUCGGUCAGGGUGCGGACUCCCGCAUUUUGGGGCGCUGGGGGUCGACGGCGAGUAGGUCGGUUUCCCACCCGACCCGUCUUGAAACACGGACCAAGAAGUCUAACGUGUGGGCGAGUCUUCGGGGACUUUGUGAACCCUAUGAAGGCGCAAUUAAAGUAAAGGUCCUGCCUUGCGUGCUUCGGCAUGCGCGGCAGGGCUGCAGUGGGAUCCCUCGUGUAACGGCGAGGGCGCACCCCUGGCCCGUCCUAUGACCGCUUCGUCGGUCGGGCGGAGCAAGAGCCCACGCGUUGGGACCCGAAAGAUGGUGAACUAUGCCUGGGCAGGACGAGGCCAGAGGAAACUCUGGUGGAAGUCCGCAGCGGUUCUGACGUGCAAUCGAUCGUCGGACCUGGGUAUAGGGCGAAAGACUAA